Molecule: ribosomal RNA, 275 nt
Filed under: uncultured bacterium
Lineage: Bacteria
Description: partial 16S ribosomal RNA
Rfam family: Bacterial small subunit ribosomal RNA
Source: RNAcentral
CCUACGGGUGGCUGCAGUAAGGAAUAUUGGUCAAUGGGGGCAACCCUGAACCAGCCAUGCCGCGUGCAGGACGACUGCCCUAUGGGUUGUAAACUGCUUUUGUACGGGAAUAAACGCGGGUAUGUAUACCCGCCUGAAUGUACCGUAAGAAUAAGGAUCGGCUAACUCCGUGCCAGCAGCCGCGGUAAUACGGAGGAUCCGAGCGUUAUCCGGAUUUAUUGGGUUUAAAGGGAGCGUAGGCGGCCUUAUAAGUCAGGGGUGAAAGACGGUGGCUC